RNAcentral lists this non-coding RNA (727 nucleotides) under Paecilomyces variotii No. 5. RNAcentral's name for it is "Byssochlamys spectabilis No. 5 Bacterial large subunit ribosomal RNA". It matches the Rfam family "Bacterial large subunit ribosomal RNA", at positions 219 to 1046 of the family's 2925-position model. Lineage: Eukaryota; Fungi; Ascomycota; Eurotiomycetes; Eurotiales; Thermoascaceae. The record is from Rfam by way of RNAcentral.
AAGAAAUCAAACGAGAUUAUUCUUUAGUGUCAUCUAAAGAAUAUUAGUCUAAUAUUCGUCACUAUGAAUUUAAAUUAGUUUCGACUAAAUUAAAGGAAUUUUGAUGGAUUUAAAGUAAAACGGAUUAAAUCUGUUUGAAUAAAGGGGAACCUUCCUCUAAGGCUAAAUAUGAUAUAUAAGCGAUAGUGAAUAGUACCGUGAGGUAAAAUUUGAAAUAGUAGUUUUAUAAGCAGCUCGAGUAAAGUUUAAAUAAAUAAUAAGAGCGUACCUUUUGCAUAAUGGGUCAGCAAGUUAAUUUUAGAUGCAAGCGAUGAUUAUAUAAAAUCUAGCUUAGAUAAACCAAUUAUGAAAAAAUGAGUAAGUAUCUAGGAUUAGACCCGAAGGCUAGUGAUCUUACCAUGGUCAGGGUUAUAAAAGCCCGAACGGGUUAUCGUUGUAUAGAUAUCCGAAGAACUGUGGUAAGUUAGUGAAAGACAAAACUGACUAGUAUAGCUGGUUUUCCGCGAAACCUAUAUGAGUAGGUAAUUUAAUUAACAUCUUAGCAGGUACAGAACUGUGAUCUCGGACAAUAUCUUCAAUGAAGAUUUUGUAAACAUCGGGGGAUUGUAGUGAUUUUACCGGAGAGUAUUUGCACUCGGAAUGGCAAAGAUGAAUGUUGAAUAAUCGGACAUAGUACGAUAAGGUUGUAUGUCUAAAGGGAAACAGCCCAGAACAAGAGUUUAAGGUU